CACAAGCGGUGGAGUAUGUGGUUUAAUUCGACGCAACGCGAAGAACCUUACCUGGGCUUGACAUCCCGGGAAUCCCUUGGAAACAAGGGAGUGCCCUUCGGGGAACCUGGAGACAGGUGCUGCAUGGCUGUCGUCAGCUCGUGUCGUGAGAUGUAGGGUUAAGUCCCGCAACGAGCGCAACCCUUGUCUUUAAUUGCCAUCAUUGAGUUGGGCACUUUAAAGAGACUGCCGGUGUUAAACCGGAGGAAGGUGGGGAUGACGCCAAGUCCUCAUGGCCUUUAUGCCCAGGGCUACACACGUGCUACAAUGGGUGGUACAAAGAGCAGCCAGCUCGCGAGAGUGAGCAAAUCUCAAAAAGCCAUCCUCAGUUCGGAUUGAAGUCUGCAACUCGAGGGCAUGAAGGCGGAAUCGCUAGUAAUCGCGGAUCAGCAUGCCGCGGUGAAUACGUUCCCAGGCCUU
RNAcentral lists this ribosomal RNA (459 nucleotides) under uncultured Syntrophus sp. Its description in RNAcentral is "bacterial SSU rRNA". It matches the Rfam family "Bacterial small subunit ribosomal RNA", at positions 924 to 1382 of the family's 1533-position model. The record is from RNAcentral. Lineage: Bacteria; Pseudomonadati; Thermodesulfobacteriota; Syntrophia; Syntrophales; Syntrophaceae.